Molecule: non-coding RNA, 1847 nt
Organism: Cicer arietinum (chickpea)
Lineage: Eukaryota; Viridiplantae; Streptophyta; Magnoliopsida; Fabales; Fabaceae
Source: RefSeq, a predicted model, not a curated record
AUAAAUAUGAAGUAUUAUUCAGUUUAUACAACUUCUCCUCCGUGUUAAUAUGGCAUCAAGAGAAAUUUUUUUAUCCUCUUUCCUUUAGUCACGUUCAUUCUUCCACUUUUGAAAUUCUUUCUCGGUUCAUCACAUCUCCAUAGCUGAUAACACUACUCUCUAUUAUGAUUUUGCAACAAAUGCAUCUAAUCCCUAUUAUUUGCACUCUAAUGAAAACCCCUAUUUGGUGCUUAUAACUCCAUUGUUGGAUAGCAAAAAUUACUUUUCCUGGUCGCACACAAUGAAUGUGGCUUUGAUCUCCAAGAACAAAUUGAAGUUUGUCGACGGCUCAUUUCCUCAACCUGCAUCAACAAAUCUUCUACAUGAUCAAUGGAUUAGGUGCAACAACAUGGUCAUUUAUUGGUUGCAGCGAUCGAUCUCGCAAACCAUCAACAAAUCCAUCCUAUGGAUUGAGAAAACAACCACUGUUUGGAAGGUUCUUGAACAAUGAUUCUCGCAAGAUGACACUUUUCAUGUUUUUUAUAUUCAAGACGAUUUAACAAGAUUGCAACAAGAAACCUAUAUGCAUCAAAUUAUUUCACCCAGCUUACUUCCAUGUGGAAAGAAAUAGAAAACUUUCACCCUACUCGUGAUUGUAUUUGCGUCGUUCCGUGCACUUGUGGCGCCUCUACCGAUCUAAAAAAAUACAAAGAAAAAGACAAGGCAAUUAAGUUUCUCAAAGGGUUAAAUGAGUAGUAUUCACGUGUUCGUUCAUAGAUAAUGUUGAUCGAUUCUUUACCUUCUCUUGAUAAGACUUUUUCUCUCAUUCUUGGUCAGGAACGACAACUUCAACCUCCAAUUAUUUCAGAUUCUGUUGAUGAAAAAUCACCCUCUACCUUGCAAGUUUCUCACAAUUUUGGUGGUCGUGGUAAUUCCUCUUCUUCAAAUUGAGGUCGCGGUAGAGGCUUUGGUAGUGGUCAUGGUUCAAAAUUUUGCACCCAUUGCCAAAGAACUAAUCAUACCAUUAUUACAUGUUUUCAAAAGUAUGGUUAUCCCCCUAGAUAUUUCUCUAAAAAUUCAAAACCCUUCAUCCACCUCACAAGCAAUGAUGAGUCCCCUCUGCUAUAAAUUUAGAACACCAGCCCUAUUUAUCUUAUAUACAUAAUCAAUUCAAUCAACUUCUCCAAAUGUUUCAAAGCAAUGUGUUUUCUUCUCCUCAAAUUGAUACACCAACAGCCUCAACAACUUAUGCAGUUUGUUCUCAUCCCUCCAUCAAUUCAAUUUCCAAUCCUAAGAUAGGAUAUUCCCUCAUCUCUUGGAAGUCGAAGAAGAAACCAACAGUCUCUAGAUCGAGUUUUGAAGCUGAAUAUAGAGUGUUAGCUAGCCUAACAUGUGAGUUGUAGUGGCUGGAUUUUUGCUCAAGGACCUUGGUAUCACACUUUCAACACCCGACUCCAUCUUUUGUGGCAGUAAAUCAGUCAUUUACUUGGCACAUAAUCCUACAUGCCACUUAAUUAGAGAGAAGAUCAAUCUUGGACUUGUCAAGCUAUUUUAUGUACCUUCCACUGCUCAAAUUGCAGACCUUUUUACUAAACCACUACAUUACCCUUUAUUUGUUCAUCUGGUUUCCAAGCUUGGACUAUUAGAUAUCCACAUUCCAACUUGUGGGGGAGUAUUACAUAUAAAUGAAUCUAAUAUUACUUAGUCAUUUUAUGUAUUUUUAGUUCAUUUAUUCGAUAGCUUCAGUUUUGACUAACUACCCUUGUUAUUUGAAAGUUAGUUAUCCUUUAUUAGGAAUUUAGUUAGAGUUCAUUUGAGUUUGUUUUAGUUUUCAGAUGUUGAUAUAAAAAUAGAUUCUUUGCCUUUUA